RNAcentral lists this ribosomal RNA (423 nucleotides) under uncultured bacterium. RNAcentral describes it as "bacterial SSU rRNA". It matches the Rfam family "Bacterial small subunit ribosomal RNA", at positions 355 to 775 of the family's 1533-position model. The record is from RNAcentral.
UAGGGAAUAUUGGACAAUGGACGAAAGUCUGAUCCAGCCAUGCCGCGUGCAGGAUGAAGGUCCUAUGGAUCGUAAACUGCUUUUAUCAGGGAAGAAAAACUGGGAUUCAUCCCGGCUUGACGGUACCUGAGGAAUAAGCCACGGCUAACUACGUGCCAGCAGCCGCGGUAAUACGUAGGUGGCAAGCGUUAUCCGGAAUCACUGGGUUUAAAGGGUGCGUAGGUGGGUGUUUAAGUGAGUGGUGAAAGCUCCCGGCUUAACCGGGAAAUUGCCAUUCAUACUGGAUACCUUGAGUACAGUUGAGGUGGGCGGAAUGUGUCAUGUAGCGGUGAAAUGCUUAGAUAUGACACAGAACACCGAUUGCGAAGGCAGCUCGCUAAACUGUAACUGACACUGAGGCACGAAAGCGUGGGGAUCAAACAG